GACGAACGCUGGCGGCGUGCUUAACACAUGCAAGUCGAACGGUAAGGCCCUUCGGGGUACACGAGUGGCGAACGGGUGAGUAACACGUCGGUGAUCUGCCCUGCACUUCGGGCUAAGCCUGGGAAACUGGGUCUAAUUCCGGAUAGGACCGCUGCCUGCAUGGGUGGUGGUGGCAAGCUUGUUCUGUGUGGGAUGGGCCCGCGGCCUUUCAGCUUGUUGGUGGGGUGAGGGCCUGCCAAGGCGACGGCGGGUGGCCGGCCUGAGAGGGUGACCCGCCACACUGGGACUGAGAUACGGCCCGGACUCCUGCGGGAGGUAGCAGUGGGGAAUAUUGCACAAUGGGCGCAAGCCUGAUGCAGCGACGCCGCGUGAGGGAUGACGGACUUCGGGUUGUAAACCACUUACAGCACCGACGAAGCGCAAGUGACGGUAGGUGCAGAAGAAGGACCGGCCAACUACGUGCCAGCAGCCGCCGUAA
RNAcentral lists this ribosomal RNA (478 nucleotides) under uncultured bacterium. RNAcentral's name for it is "partial 16S ribosomal RNA". It matches the Rfam family "Bacterial small subunit ribosomal RNA", at positions 28 to 523 of the family's 1533-position model. The record is from RNAcentral.